Long non-coding RNA from Dromaius novaehollandiae (emu), 1571 nucleotides. RefSeq lists it as uncharacterized. The transcript has 2 exons. The record is from RefSeq and is a predicted model, not a curated record. NCBI's taxonomy places the organism in Eukaryota, Metazoa, Chordata, Aves, Casuariiformes, Dromaiidae.
UGCUCCCUGGGGAGGGAUGCUCCGUGGUGACGCAGGAGGGCGCAGGGCACACACAGGGCACGUGGCAGAGGGCAGCUGGCACCCUCCUCUGUGGGCUCUGCUUGGUGGCUGUGACCUCCUGUCCCCUGCAAUCGCCGUGGCAGGGGACACCGGCAGGACAGGGCAUCGCCGUGCCUGGGCUGCAGGCCGGCGUUGCUGGCAGCCGGGACCAGCCUUGCCCCUCGUCUCCCCGGGGCUCCCGGCGUUUCCCGGAGCAGGAGGGCGGCCGUUCCGCGAAAACUCGACCUCCUCCGAAGUUCCCCUAAAUUCAAUUCUCGGGAAAGACGACACCAAGGGAAGAGAAAGGAGGUUUUUCUCUGGGGAAGAAAUUCCAGGCACACGCUGGCAGCCGCCGCGGCAGGAGGGGCGGGCGGCGAGAGCAGGCCCUCCGCCGCGGCGCAGAGCGCACACGCAAUUAGCACUUCCAGGACGCCGAGCACGCUUGAACGCUGUGUUUAAAGCGGAUCGAAUCCCCGUCCGAGCGGGGCUGCCAACGCGUUUUGAAAAUAAUUAGGAAGCCAAUCGUUCCAGUGCUUCCCAGAACAGCCCUGCGGUGGAAACCCUGGGGGUUCAGCAGCGCACAGCAAUCCGGGUGCAAAGCCCCAAGCCCCGGGGGCUGCUCUGCCCGGCCGCAGUGCCUCGCGGAGGGCUUCAUCGCUUAAUUUGAAACAGGGCGGGUUGCUCCGGCUGCAGGGCGAUGCUACAGCCGGCACCGCGAGGCGUUUCUCCCUCCCUCGUGGCCCAAGCACGGGUGGAUGAAACAGUUUGGGAACAAACCUCCCUCCGUUGCAAUUUGAGGCACAGGCUCACGUAUGGUGCCAGGUAAAUUAAAAGAAGGGGGAGGAAAAAAAAAAGAGGGCGAGAGGUACAGCCACAACCUGCAAGAAGAACACAUGGAAAAGGAAACGCCUCUGUCGCGCCGAGCACUGCAUGUGUGCGUGCGCGGGUGAGGGCGAGGGGACACCGCAGCCCCCGUCUGUGCAGGGGGCCCUUGCUCCCGCACGGCUGCAGCCGCAGGAGCCCCACGGCACGGCACGGCACGGCACGGCACGGUGCAAUGCGGCUUGGUGCAGCACGGCACAGCACGGCGUCAUGCAGCGUGGCAUGGAGCAGCGUGGCGUGGCAUGGUCCGGCACAGCACGGCGUCGUGCAGCGUGGCAUGGAGCAUGGCACAGUGCAGCACGGUGCAGCGUGGCACGGCACAGCCGUCUCAUGCCAGUCCCCAGCACCGCUGCCCGGGCAGAGCCCCCGGCGAGCCCCGCAGCCCAGCGCGGAAGGGGCCACGGCUGCUGUCGUGCCGGGAUCCCAGGCCUGGGCUCACCCGCCUGCUCCGGGGAAACCCCGGGGCCAGGAGGAGCCGCGUCCCCGGGCAUCGCUGCGAGCCGGAGCUCCCCGCCUGCCCCACGCGCCUCUUCGGCCGGGUACCUCCUGCGCCAUCCGCGCUUACACAUGCAAAGCAUUAGGGUUUGUUUAGAAACUCUUUAUUAUCAUAUUUUGUUCUCUAUUUCCUACAAAUUAAAUUUGCUGAGGGA